Molecule: ribosomal RNA, 425 nt
Filed under: uncultured bacterium
Lineage: Bacteria
Description: partial 16S ribosomal RNA
Rfam family: Bacterial small subunit ribosomal RNA
Source: RNAcentral
GUGGGGAAUCUUGCGCAAUGGGCGAAAGCCUGACGCAGCCAUGCCGCAUGAAUGAUGAAGGUCUUAGGAUUGUAAAAUUCUUUCACCGGGGACGAUAAUGACGGUACCCGGAGAAGAAGCCCCGGCUAACUUCGUGCCAGCAGCCGCGGUAAUACGAAGGGGGCUAGCGUUGCUCGGAAUUACUGGGCGUAAAGGGCGCGUAGGCGGACAGUUUAGUCAGAGGUGAAAGCCCAGGGCUCAACCUUGGAAUUGCCUUUGAUACUGGCUGUCUUGAGUACGGGAGAGGUGAGUGGAACUCCGAGUGUAGAGGUGAAAUUCGUAGAUAUUCGGAAGAACACCAGUGGCGAAGGCGACUCACUGGCCCGUUACUGACGCUGAGGCGCGAAAGCGUGGGGAGCAAACAGGAUUAGAUACCCCAGUAGUCC